This 73-nucleotide transfer RNA is filed under the name Heterocephalus glaber (naked mole-rat). It matches the Rfam family "tRNA". Rfam says of the family: Transfer RNA (tRNA) molecules are approximately 80 nucleotides in length. Their secondary structure includes four short double-helical elements and three loops (D, anti-codon, and T loops). Lineage: Eukaryota; Metazoa; Chordata; Mammalia; Rodentia; Bathyergidae. The record is from Rfam by way of RNAcentral.
ACUUGGCUAGUUCAGUCAAUAGAGCAUGGGACUCUUAAUCUCAGGGUUGUUGGUUCAAGCCCCACGUUGGGUG